RNAcentral lists this ribosomal RNA (2461 nucleotides) under human gut metagenome. Its description in RNAcentral is "bacterial LSU rRNA". It matches the Rfam family "Bacterial large subunit ribosomal RNA", at positions 14 to 2499 of the family's 2925-position model. The record is from RNAcentral.
AGGGCGCACGGUGGAUGCCUUGGCACUAGAAGCCGAUGAAGGACGUGACUAACGACGAAAUGCUUUGGGGAGCUGUAAGUGAGCAAUGAUCCAGAGAUGUCCGAAUGGGGGAACCCGGCAGGUAAUGCCUGUCACUCAUUACUGUUAAGGUAAUGUAGAGGAAGACGCAGUGAACUGAAACAUCUAAGUAGCUGCAGGAAGAGAAAGCAAAAGCGAUUGCCUGAGUAGCGGCGAGCGAAACGGCAGGAGGGCAAACCGAAGAGUUUACUCUUCGGGGUUGUAGGACUGCAAUGUGGACUUAAAGAUUAUAGAAGAAUGACAUGGGAAGGUCAGCCAAAGAGAGUAAGAGCCUCGUAAUCGAAAUAGUCUUUAUACCUAGCAGUAUCCUGAGUACGGCGGGACACGAGAAAUCCCGUCGGAAUCUGGGAGGACCAUCUCCCAACCCUAAAUACUCUCUAGUGACCGAUAGUGAACCAGUACCGUGAGGGAAAGGUGAAAAGCACCCCGGGAGGGGAGUGAAAUAGAACCUGAAACCGUGUGCCUACAACAAGUUCGAGCCCGUUAAUGGGUGAGAGCGUGCCUUUUGUAGAAUGAACCGGCGAGUUACGAUAUGAUGCGAGGUUAAGUUGAAGAGACGGAGCCGUAGGGAAACCGAGUCUUAAUAGGGCGCAUUAGUAUCAUGUCGUAGACCCGAAACCAUGUGACCUACCCAUGAGCAGGUUGAAGGUGAGGUAAAACUCACUGGAGGACCGAACCAGGGCACGUUGAAAAGUGCUUGGAUGACUUGUGGGUAGCGGAGAAAUUCCAAACGAACUUGGAGAUAGCUGGUUCUCUCCGAAAUAGCUUUAGGGCUAGCGUCGAUGUUAAGUCUCUUGGAGGUAGAGCACUGUUUGGGUGAGGGGUCCAUCCCGGAUUACCAAUCUCAGAUAAACUCCGAAUGCCAACGAGAUAUAAUCGGCAGUCAGACUGCGAGUGCUAAGAUCCGUAGUCGAAAGGGAAACAGCCCAGACCACCAGCUAAGGUCCCAAAAUAUAUGUUAAGUGGAAAAGGAUGUGGGGUUGCACAGACAACUAGGAUGUUAGCUUAGAAGCAGCUAUUCAUUCAAAGAGUGCGUAAUAGCUCACUAGUCGAGUGACCCUGCGCCGAAAAUGUACCGGGGCUAAAACAUAUUACCGAAGCUGUGGAUACCUUUAUAGGUAUGGUAGGAGAGCGUUCUAUGUGCGAAGAAGGUGUACCGUGAGGAGUGCUGGAGCGCAUAGAAGUGAGAAUGCCGGUAUGAGUAGCGAAAGACAGGUGAGAAUCCUGUCCACCGUAAGACUAAGGUUUCCAGGGGAAGGCUCGUCCGCCCUGGGUUAGUCGGGACCUAAGGAGAGACCGAAAGGUGUAUCCGAUGGACAACAGGUUGAUAUUCCUGUACUAGAGUAUAUAGUGAUGGAGGGACGCAGUAGGCUAACUAAACCAGACGAUUGGAAGUGUCUGGCCAAGCAGUGAGGUGUGAUAUGAGUCAAAUGCUUAUAUCUAUAACAUUGAGCUGUGAUGGGGAGCGAAGUUUAGUAGCGAAGUUAGUGAUGUCACACUGCCGAGAAAAGCUUCUAGCGUUAAUUAUACUCUACCCGUACCGCAAACCGACACAGGUAGUCGAGGCGAGUAGCCUCAGGUGAGCGAGAGAACUCUCGUUAAGGAACUCGGCAAAAUGACCCCGUAACUUCGGGAGAAGGGGUGCUGGCUUUCAGUCAGCCGCAGUGAAUAGGCCCAAGCAACUGUUUAUCAAAAACACAGCUCUCUGCUAAAUCGUAAGAUGAUGUAUAGGGGGUGACGCCUGCCCGGUGCUGGAAGGUUAAGAGGAGUGCUUAGCGUAAGCGAAGGUAUGAAUUGAAGCCCCAGUAAACGGCGGCCGUAACUAUAACGGUCCUAAGGUAGCGAAAUUCCUUGUCGGGUAAGUUCCGACCCGCACGAAAGGCGUAACGAUUUGGGCACUGUCUCAACAACAGACUCGGUGAAAUUGUAAUCCCGGUGAAGAUGCCGGGUACCUGCGACAGGACGGAAAGACCCCAUGGAGCUUUACUGUAGCUUGACAUUGAAUUUUGGUGCUACAUGUACAGGAUAGGUGGGAGGCUAUGAAGUCGGGACGCCAGUCUCGGCGGAGCCAUCCUUGGGAUACCACCCUUGUAGUACUGAGAUUCUAACCAGAUACCUUGAAUCAGGUAUUGGGACACUGUCAGGUGGGCAGUUUGACUGGGGCGGUCGCCUCCCAAAGAGUAACGGAGGCGCUCAAAGGUUCUCUCAGCACGGUCGGAAAUCGUGCGUAGAGUGUAAAGGCAGAAGAGAGCUUGAUUGCAAGACAUACAGGUCGAGCAAGGACGAAAGUCGGACUUAGUGAUCCGGUGGUUCCGCAUGGAAGGGCCAUCGCUCAACGGAUAAAAGCUACCCUGGGGAUAACAGGCUUAUCUCCCCCAAGAGU